Molecule: ribosomal RNA, 460 nt
Filed under: uncultured bacterium
Lineage: Bacteria
Description: partial 16S ribosomal RNA
Rfam family: Bacterial small subunit ribosomal RNA
Source: RNAcentral
CCUACGGGAGGCAGCAGUGAGGAAUAUUGGUCAAUGGCCGUAAGGCUGAACCAGCCAAGUAGCGUGAGGGAAGACUGCCCUAUGGGUUGUAAACCUCUUUUAUGCGGGGAUAAAGGUGUCCACGUGUGGAUGUUUGCAGGUACCGCAUGAAUAAGGACCGGCUAAUUCCGUGCCAGCAGCCGCGGUAAUACGGAAGGUCCGGGCGUUAUCCGGAUUUAUUGGGGUUAAAGGGAGCGUAGGCCGGUCUUUAAGCGUGCCGGGAAAUUUUGUGGCUCAACCAUGAGAGUGCGGCGCGAACUGGAGACCUUGAGGGCGCGGAAGGCAGGCGGAAUUCGUGGUGUAGCGGUGAAAUGCUUAGAUACCACGAAGAACCCCGAUUGCGAAGGCAGCCUGCCGCAGCGUUACUGACGCUGAAGCUCGAAAGCGCGGGUAUCGAACAGGAUUAGAUACCCCAGUAGUC